Molecule: ribosomal RNA, 253 nt
Filed under: uncultured bacterium
Lineage: Bacteria
Description: partial 16S ribosomal RNA
Rfam family: Bacterial small subunit ribosomal RNA
Source: RNAcentral
UACGUAGGGUCCGAGCGUUGUCCGGAGUUACUGGGCGUAAAGCGCGCGCAGGUGGUUCCCUAAGCCCGGCGUGAAAGCCCCCGGCUCAACUGGGGAGGGUCACGCGAUACUGAUCGACUGGAAGGCAGGAGAGGGUAGUGGAAUUCCCGGUGUAGUGGUGAAAUGCGUAGAUAUCGGGAGGAACACCAGUGGCGAAGGCGACUACCUGGCCUGUUCUUGACGCUGAGGCGCGAAAGCUAGGGGAGCAAACGGG